Molecule: non-coding RNA, 126 nt
Organism: Pholiota molesta
Lineage: Eukaryota; Fungi; Basidiomycota; Agaricomycetes; Agaricales; Strophariaceae
Source: the annotation of a GenBank genome assembly
UGCCCCAUGGCUGAGUUGGUUACAGCGUCCGACUGUUAAUAUUGGUAGAUGUCAUAUUCACACUGCAUAUGACAUUUAGCAAUGUCAAUCAUCGGAAGGUCGAGAGUUCGAGCCUCUCUGGGGCAG